Molecule: ribosomal RNA, 558 nt
Filed under: uncultured Peptostreptococcaceae bacterium
Lineage: Bacteria; Bacillati; Bacillota; Clostridia; Peptostreptococcales; Peptostreptococcaceae
Description: bacterial SSU rRNA
Rfam family: Bacterial small subunit ribosomal RNA
Source: RNAcentral
AGCGGCGGACGGGUGAGUAACGCGUGGGUAACCUGCCCUAUACACAUGGAUAACAUACUGAAAAGUUUACUAAUACAUGAUAAUAUAUAUUUGCGGCAUCGCAGAUAUAUCAAAGUGUUAGCGGUAUAGGAUGGACCCGCGUCUGAUUAGCUAGUUGGUGAGAUAACUGCCCACCAAGGCGACGAUCAGUAGCCGACCUGAGAGGGUGAUCGGCCACAUUGGAACUGAGACACGGUCCAAACUCCUACGGGAGGCAGCAGUGGGGAAUAUUGCACAAUGGGCGAAAGCCUGAUGCAGCAACGCCGCGUGAACGAUGAAGGUCUUCGGAUCGUAAAGUUCUGUUGCAGGGGAAGAUAAUGACGGUACCCUGUGAGGAAGCCCCGGCUAACUACGUGCCAGCAGCCGCGGUAAUACGUAGGGGGCUAGCGUUAUCCGGAUUUACUGGGCGUAAAGGGUGCGUAGGUGGUCCUUCAAGUCGGUGGUUAAAGGCUACGGCUCAACCGUAGUAAGCCGCCGAAACUGGAGGACUUGAGUGCAGGAGAGGAAAGUGGAAUUCCC